Molecule: unclassified non-coding RNA, 245 nt
Filed under: fungal sp.
Lineage: Eukaryota; Fungi
Description: partial internal transcribed spacer region
Rfam family: Eukaryotic small subunit ribosomal RNA (bases 1-45)
Source: RNAcentral
AGUCGUAACAAGGUUACCGUAGGUGAACCUGCGGUAGGAUCAUUAACAUUAGCAAAACGCGUAGUAUCAACCCAAUACACGCGUAUGUCCUCCUAUCAUUUGUCUUUCACUUGUGAUUCAUCGUGUUAGCAGCAGACGAUGAGCAAUAGAAACAAGUUCCUAUGAGAACUAAACGGAGUCCUAGUCUUGUCCUUAGUCAUUAGUAAUCAUUAUUACAACUCUUAACAACGGAUAUCUUGGUUCAU